RNAcentral lists this long non-coding RNA (685 nucleotides) under Macaca mulatta (Rhesus monkey). RNAcentral's name for it is "lncRNA (ENSMMUG00000052436.1)". Lineage: Eukaryota; Metazoa; Chordata; Mammalia; Primates; Cercopithecidae. The record is from RNAcentral.
AAGCAGGUAAUUUAUCUCAGUGCUGCUUCUUUAUGUGGAAGUUCUGCAGAGGGGAGCUUAAAACCUGAAACUGCAUAUUCUUCUUCAGCCCUUCCUCCCUUUGUCUCUCCUUUUCUCUGUCAUCUCUUUCAAUUCCAAAAUAAUUGAGGACAUCAUGUUAAGUGUCCUAAGGAGCAAGGAUUGGAGGGGAGAGACUGAACGCAAAAAAAGGAGAUGGGGAAGAUUUUUCUUGGUGUAACAAAGUUGCCUGAUUGCAGGGUGCUCUCUCCUCCACAAAACUGCCCAUUCUUUAGGAUCUUUCCCGUUUUCAUCAUUUGCUGGAAUUGGGCAGGAGCAAAUGCUGGGCUUCACUACUGAUUGUGAUCCUGAAAUUCUUCUGUUACAGCCUUACCACAUUGUGCUUGGUUACCACCCUGAAACUCCAGUAAUAGAGCUGACUCUCUGAGGAGGACAGAAAGAUCUGACCAGUAAAAAGAGCUGACAGCAACACAUUUACUAGUCAUUUGUUUGGGUGUACAUAAAUAUAUGUAGAGAUCUAAUUCUCAGGACUCAGGACUUCUCAAUAUUUUCCAAUAAAUAGGAUGCAAGCAUAUGGACCUAUAGAACCAACUGGUAAAAAAGGAAUCAUCUUCUGGCUGAGACAAGAAAGAGGCAUAAUAUUGUGCAUGCUGUUUGUCAAAUACCC